ACUCCUACGGGAGGCAGCAGUGGGGAAUUUUCCUCAAUGGGCGAAAGCCUGAACCAGCAAUACCGCGUGAGGGAUGACAGUCUGCGGAUUGUAAACCUCUUUUCUCAGGGACGAAGUUCUGAUGACACUUGCUGAAUAAGAAUCGGCUAAUUCUGUGCCAGCAGCCGCGGUAAUAC
RNAcentral lists this ribosomal RNA (176 nucleotides) under uncultured bacterium. Its description in RNAcentral is "partial 16S ribosomal RNA". It matches the Rfam family "Bacterial small subunit ribosomal RNA", at positions 335 to 526 of the family's 1533-position model. The record is from RNAcentral.